UACGUAGGGGGCAAGCGUUGUCCGGAUUUAUUGGGCGUAAAGAGCGUGUAGGCGGCCAGGUAGGUCUGGUGUGAAAACUCGAGGCUCAACCUCAAGAGGUCAUCGGAAACCAUCUGGCUAGAGUCCGGAAGAGGAGAGUGGAAUUCCUGGUGUAGCGGUGAAAUGCGCAGAUAUCAGGAAGAACACCUAUGGCGAAGGCAGCUCUCUGGGACGGUACUGACGCUGAGACGCGAAAGCGUGGGGAGCGAACA
RNAcentral lists this ribosomal RNA (251 nucleotides) under uncultured prokaryote. RNAcentral describes it as "partial 16S ribosomal RNA". It matches the Rfam family "Bacterial small subunit ribosomal RNA", at positions 524 to 774 of the family's 1533-position model. The record is from RNAcentral.